UGUGGCCUUUGGAUGUUGUCUGCUCCAUGGCCGGGUUGUUGUCUUUUAGACACAUACCCCGUUUCAAUUCCCAAUUUUAUUUGUAGACACAUCUAUUCUGGCUAUCCUCUUAUGUCUUUUAGUGUCAACUAGAACGAAAGUAUUUUACUAUUGCCUUCAAAGUGGACACUCACAAUUAUAAUUCAUCAAAUAAAGAUAUGUCCAUAGAUAGUCAUAAGAGGAUCAUAAGACAUGUCCUAAGAUAUAUCUUAUGACAGGUCUCAGGAAUGCUUUGUAAUACCGACUCCUGGACAUUAACUGUCUCAAAAAAGAAAAAAAAAC
Molecule: long non-coding RNA, 321 nt
Filed under: Mytilus galloprovincialis (Mediterranean mussel)
Lineage: Eukaryota; Metazoa; Mollusca; Bivalvia; Mytilida; Mytilidae
Source: RNAcentral